RNA transcript from Homo sapiens (human), 2064 nucleotides. It is a transcript of the gene named glucosaminyl (N-acetyl) transferase family member 7, transcript variant 1, non-coding, with no coding region annotated. The record is from RefSeq and is marked validated. The transcript is spliced from 7 exons. Lineage: Eukaryota; Metazoa; Chordata; Mammalia; Primates; Hominidae.
AUAAGCUCCACCUCGAGUUCCAUUAAGGUAUUGAAUGCACAGUCUUUGUUGGGGGAAGCAUUUCUUUUUUUCUUUAAUGGAGAGUGAAGUUGGCCGCCUCGAAGGCCAGGAGGACUCUGCUCCUGUCAGGAAAGAUACUCAAGCUAUCAUCUGUAAACAUGAACAACAUUUACUGCUGGAUGGGGAAUCACCAGCGCAUGGAAGAACUCUUGGUGGAUGCGUUGUCUGGAGCCUGCUCACUCCGCCACGUUACUCAGCAAUGCUUUCCCUGUUUCUGGAUACCACGCUCCCUUCUGAACGAUGAAGCAUGAAGCACCACGCUCCAUAAAAGACCCUCCCUCUCCCCGUGGGAGGGCUCAGGAAGCUAUGAGACCUGAGUAUGUACUGCCUUAAAUCAACAGCAACAGAAGGAUCUGGUCCCAAGGAAAUACUCAGAGAAGCAAAAGCAGCAACUUUUCAAUCUGCAGGUCAGAACCAACAGGAAUAAAACUCUCCAGGGACAGAUGGCAACAAAACCUGCCAAGCAACUCUACUCAAGUGACUGAAGCAGGCGCCGCUGCCGGGGAGGAACCGAUGGGAGAGAAAGGCCAGGCUGGGCCCUGACACCGCCAGGACUCCCCCUCCAGGAACCAGGGGGCUUCUCCUGGAAGCUUAAAGGAAAAAAUACUUAAAUUAUGGUAAUAAGAAUGCACCUGGAGCUCAAGAUAUGAGCCAGCUUCGAGCCACAAAGUCUGGACUUGUCGUGAGGGCAGUCAUUUGCAUCUUCAUUUUUCUUUACUUAAGGAAUCCAACUCCUGCAGAAUCAGAAGAAGAACCUGCCCAACCAGAAGUAGUAGAAUGUGGCUUUUACCCAGAUGAACUGUGUUCCGCUUUAUUUGAAGGGAAAGGGGCGGCCCCCUAAAUUGCAAAAUUUUGCAAAACCCCUCAUAAAUCUGAAAUACAUGCUCAUUUACACACACCAGGAAACUGCUCCAGGAUUUCUCGGGGGCUGCAUUUCAUAACCAGACCCCUGUCUGCAGAAGAGGGCGAUUUCUCUUUGGCAUAUAUUAUAACUAUUCAUAAGGAGCUGGCCAUGUUUGUGCAGCUUCUCAGAGCUAUUUAUGUACCUCAAAAUGUUUAUUGUAUUCAUGUUGAUGAAAAGGCCCCAAUGAAGUAUAAGACUGCUGUGCAAACCUUGGUUAACUGUUUUGAAAACGUUUUUAUUUCCUCCAAGACAGAGAAGGUGGCUUAUGCUGGCUUUACAAGACUACAGGCAGAUAUUAAUUGUAUGAAAGUUCUAGUGCAUUCUAAAUUUCAAUGGAACUAUGUCAUCAAUCUUUGUGGACAGGAUUUUCCCAUCAAAACCAACAGAGAAAUCAUACACUACAUCAGAAGCAAAUGGAGUGAUAAAAAUAUUACUCCUGGAGUAAUCCAACCAUUGCACAUUAAAUCCAAGACAAGUCAAAGUCAUCUCGAAUUCGUUCCUAAAGGAAGUAUCUAUGCACCUCCAAAUAACAGAUUCAAAGACAAACCACCCCAUAACUUAACCAUUUAUUUUGGAAGUGCUUACUAUGUACUUACAAGGAAGUUUGUAGAGUUCAUACUGACUGACAUCCAUGCAAAAGACAUGCUUCAGUGGUCCAAAGACAUCCGCAGCCCAGAGCAACACUACUGGGUGACCCUGAACCGACUAAAAGAUGCUCCAGGUGCUACACCAAACGCUGGCUGGGAAGGAAAUGUUCGAGCCAUUAAGCGGAAAAGUGAGGAAGGAAAUGUUCAUGAUGGAUGUAAAGGCCGCUACGUCGAAGACAUCUGCGUAUACGGACCAGGAGACCUGCCGUGGCUCAUUCAGUCGCCUUCUCUGUUUGCCAACAAAUUCGAACCCUCGACAGACCCGCUUGUGGUUACCUGCUUAGAGCGGCGGCACAGACUUCAAGUGCUGAGGCAGGCAGAAGUUCCUAUAGAGCCACACUGGCAUUUUCAACAGCAGAGUCAUUUCAAUAUGAGACUGAACCGCUAGGGAGUGUUUGCUUUCUUACUGGUAUCAUUCUGUUUCCUUGACUUGAAACAAGAGAACAUUGAACC